This is a non-coding RNA of Oryctolagus cuniculus (rabbit), 255 nucleotides long. The record is from RefSeq and is a predicted model, not a curated record. Lineage: Eukaryota; Metazoa; Chordata; Mammalia; Lagomorpha; Leporidae.
GCCUCCUCCCACGCCACAGGUGGUGAUGCCCACACACACACAGUGACGCCUCCUCCCACGUCACAGGUGGUGAUGCCCACACACACAGUGACGCCUCCUCCCACACCACAGGUGGUGAUGCCCACACACACAGUGACGCCUCCUCCCACGCCACAGGUGGUGAUGCCCACACACAGUGACGCCUCCUCCCACGCCACAGGCAGCAGGUGCACCCUGCUGACUCCUGAGCCGAGAAGGAUCCCAGCCAGCGGACAG